Oncorhynchus kisutch (coho salmon) is the source of this 1069-nucleotide long non-coding RNA. RefSeq lists it as uncharacterized. NCBI's taxonomy places the organism in Eukaryota, Metazoa, Chordata, Actinopteri, Salmoniformes, Salmonidae. The record is from RefSeq and is a predicted model, not a curated record. The transcript is spliced from 2 exons.
CCAGGCCAUUAAGACCUGAUGGAGGGACAAUAGAGCCCUGAGUACCAGGCCAUUAGGACAUGAUGGAGGGACGAUAGAGCCCUGAGUACCAGGCCAUUAAGACCUGAUGGUAGUGAGCUAGUGUUUUGUGUACUACAUCAUCCAUUUAGUAUGAUGUGUUUAUUUUUUGUUGCAAUUCCAUCCUGGACUGCAUCUUCAAGGAAUUACAGUGAAAUUCCAAUUCUCUACUAUGCUUUUUGAUAAGGACAAUUUGGAAUUGGAAUUUGGUUUACUUUUUGAAUUGCCUGGAAUUUAAAUGUAAUGGACACCAACCCUGUGGUGAACACAGCUCUGGUUUGAAGGGGAACCCUGAGCUGACCAGGUUCAUUAAGGUUGAAGGGGAACCCUGGGCUGACCAGGUUCAUUAAGGUUGAAGGGGAACCCUGGCCUGACCAGGUUCAUUAAGGUUGAAGGGGAACCCUGGGCUGACCAGGUUCAUUAAGGUUGAAGGGGAACCCUGGCCUGACCAGGUUCAUUAAGGUUGAAGGGGAACCCUGGGCUGACCAGGUUCAUUAAGGUUGAAGGGGAACCCUGGGCUGACCAGGUUCAUUAAGGUUGAAGGGGGAUCCUGGGCUGACCAGGUUCAUUAAGGUUGAAGGGGAACCCUGGGCUGACCAGGUUCAUUAAGGUUGAAGGGGGAUCCUGGGCUGACCAGGUUCAUUAAGGUUGAAGGGGAACCCUGGGCUGACCAGGUUCAUUAAGGUUGAAGGGGGAUCCUGGGCUGACCAGGUUCAUUAAGGUUGAAUGGGGCAGUGGGGUGUUGGCUCGCGUUAGAAGGUGAUAAAUACACCAAAAGCUCAUGGCACUUUGCAGGAAAUCUUUUAAAACAAAAAGCAUUGAAAUGUGAAAAUAGCAUCUUCCUGUAUUUUAAACAUGUCAGACUUUUAGAUGUCCCAAAUGCUUCAAUUUAUUUUACCUUUUUUCAAAAUGCAUACAUUUAUAUUUAACAAUGUUACGUUCUGUAUAUAACUUGUAAAAUAUGACAUGAUUGUAUGUUCAUUGUAAAUACAUUAAAUACUAUUUUAGUUUU